UUGAACGCUGGCGGCAUGCUUAACCCAUGCAAGUCGAACGGUAACAGGUGUAGCAAUACAUGCUGACGAGUGGCGGACGGGUGAGGAAUGCUUGGGAAUCUGCCUGUUAGUGGGGGACAACCCGGGGAAACUCGGGCUAAUACCGCAUACGCUCUACGGAGGAAAGCGGGGGACCGUAAGGCCUCGCGCUAACAGAUGAGCCCAAGUCGGAUUAGCUAGUUGGUGGGGUAAAAGCCUACCAAGGCGACGAUCCGUAGCUGGUCUGAGAGGACGAUCAGCCACACUGGGACUGAGACACGGCCCAGACUCCUACGGGAGGCAGCAGUGGGGAAUAUUGGACAAUGGGGGCAACCCUGAUCCAGCAAUGCCGCGUGUGUGAAGAAGGCCUGCGGGUUGUAAAGCACUUUUGGCAGGGAUGAAAAGCACUGGAUUAAUAACCCAGUGUGUUGACCUAACCUGCAGAAGAAGCACCGGCUAACUCUGUG
RNAcentral lists this ribosomal RNA (485 nucleotides) under uncultured bacterium. Its description in RNAcentral is "partial 16S ribosomal RNA". It matches the Rfam family "Bacterial small subunit ribosomal RNA", at positions 30 to 507 of the family's 1533-position model. The record is from RNAcentral.